Molecule: ribosomal RNA, 465 nt
Filed under: uncultured bacterium
Lineage: Bacteria
Description: partial 16S ribosomal RNA
Rfam family: Bacterial small subunit ribosomal RNA
Source: RNAcentral
GAUGAACGCUGGCGGCGUGCCUAACACAUGCCAGUCGAACGGAAAGGCCCCUUUGGUGGUCCUCGAGUGGCGAACGGGGGCGUAACACGUGAGUAACCUGCCCUUGACUUUGGGACAACUUCAGGAAAGUGGGGCUAAUACCGGAUAGGAAUCCUUGCUUCAUGGUGGGGGUUGGAAAGUUUCGGCGGUUUUUGCUGGACUGGCGGGUUAUCUGCUUGUUGGUGUGGUAGUGGGUUACCAAGGCUUUGGGGGGUAGCCCGCCUGCGGGGGCGACCGGCCACACUGGGUCUGAGGUGCGGCCCAAGCUGCUAAGGGUGGCAGCAGGGGGGAAUCUUGCACGAUGAGCGGCAGGCUGGUGCAGCAGCGCCGCGGGCGGGAUAACGGCGUUCGGGUUGUAGACCGCUUUCAGCAGGGGCGAAGCUUGUGGUGACGGUACCUGCAGAAGAAGCACCGGCUAACUACGUG